GGCCUAAUACAUGCAAGUCGAACGGUGUCUUCGGACAUAGUGGCGCACGGGUGCGUAACACGUAUGCAACCUACCUUACAUUGGGGGAUAGCCUUUCGAAAGGGAGAUUAAUACCGCAUAAGACAGUAGCUGGGCAUCCAGCAGCUGUUAAAGAUUUAUCGAUGUAAGCUGGGCAUGCGUCCAAUUAGCUAGUUGGUGAGGUAACGGCUCACCAAGGCAAUGAUUGGUAGGGGAACUGAGAGGUCAAUCCCCCACACUGGCACUGAGAUACGGGCCAGACUCCUACGGGAGGCAGCAGUAGGGAAUAUUGGGCAAUGGACGCAAGUCUGACCCAGCCAUGCCGCGUGCAGGAUGAAGGCGUUAUGCGUUGUAAACUGCUUUUAUACAGGAAGAAACGACUCUUGCGAGAGGCAUUGACGGUACUGUAUGAAUAAGCACCGGCUAACUCCGUGCCAGCAGCCGCGGUAAUACGGAGGGUGCAAGCGUUGUCCGGAUUUAUUGGGUUUAAAGGGUGCGCAGGUGGUUUAUUAAGUCAGUGGUGAAAGACGGUCGCACAACGAUUGCAGUGCCAUUGAAACUGGUAGACUUGAGUAAAGUAGAGGU
This 603-nucleotide ribosomal RNA is filed under the name uncultured bacterium. RNAcentral describes it as "bacterial SSU rRNA". It matches the Rfam family "Bacterial small subunit ribosomal RNA", at positions 45 to 658 of the family's 1533-position model. The record is from RNAcentral.